AUGAACGCUGGCGGCGUGCCUAAUACAUGCCAGUCGAGCGAACAGACGAGGAGCUUGCUCCUCUGACGUUAGCGGCGGACGGGUGAGUAACACGUGGAUAACCUACCUAUAAGACUGGGAUAACUUCGGGAAACCGGAGCUAAUACCGGAUAAUAUAUUGAACCGCAUGGUUCAAUAGUGAAAGACGGUUUUGCUGUCACUUAUAGAUGGAUCCGCGCCGCAUUAGUUAGUUGGUAAGGUAACGGCUUACCAAGGCAACGAUGCGUAGCCGACCUGAGAGGGUGAUCGGCCACACUGGAACUGAGACACGGUCCAGACUCCUACGGGAGGCAGCAGUAGGGAAUCUUCCGCAAAGGGCGAAAGCCUGACGGAGCAACGCCGCGUGAGUGAUGAAGGUCUUCGGAUCGUAAAACUCUGUUAUUAGGGAAGAACAAAUGUGUAAGUAACUAUGCACGUCUUGACGGUACCUAAUCAGAAAGCCACGGCUAACUACGUG
RNAcentral lists this ribosomal RNA (496 nucleotides) under uncultured bacterium. RNAcentral's name for it is "partial 16S ribosomal RNA". It matches the Rfam family "Bacterial small subunit ribosomal RNA", at positions 29 to 507 of the family's 1533-position model. The record is from RNAcentral.